RNAcentral lists this long non-coding RNA (412 nucleotides) under Salvia miltiorrhiza (redroot sage). Its description in RNAcentral is "long non-coding RNA (SMIL_LNC009144)". Lineage: Eukaryota; Viridiplantae; Streptophyta; Magnoliopsida; Lamiales; Lamiaceae. The record is from RNAcentral.
UCAUAACUCACAACAUUUUUCUCAUAUUUUUCAUUUUCUGAAACCUCUACAUAAUAGCUUCAUUAGUAACAUUUACAAAUACAUCAUUUUCUAUGUAAACAAUUAUUUAAAAGAUUAUCUCCCAUAUGACUGUGAAGAACACUCUUCAUGACCUUCAUUGUUGAAAAAGCUUUUUCAACUUUAGUGGUGACAACUGAUAAAGUCAAUGACUACUUAAUUAACAAAUACAAAAAAAAAAAAACAUGAUGUUUCCUUAUAGAAACCAUAUUCUUGAUAAGAUCUUAAAUCCCUGAUAGUUUUCAGAACUUUACAACCAUGCGGACUCUAACAGUCUUCAGAACCGCAAGCUAAACUAGAAACGAACUCUAACACUUGAGUUCCAACAGUUCUAGUCUAUUACAAUUAAGACCUA